GACGAACGCUGGCGGCGUGCCUAACACAUGCAAGUCGAACGGGGUUGCCCUUCGGGGCAACUUAGUGGCGAACGGGUGAGUAACGCGUGAGGAACCUGCCUUCCAGUGGGGGACAACAGUUGGAAACGACUGCUAAUACCGCAUAACACAACGAGACCGCAUGAUCUUGUUGUCAAAGCUUUAUGUGCUGGAAGAUGGCCUCGCGUCUGAUUAGCUAGUUGGUGGGGUAACGGCCUACCAAGGCAACGAUCAGUAGCCGACCUGAGAGGGUGACCGGCCACAUUGGGACUGAGACACGGCCCAA
Molecule: ribosomal RNA, 304 nt
Filed under: uncultured bacterium
Lineage: Bacteria
Description: bacterial SSU rRNA
Rfam family: Bacterial small subunit ribosomal RNA
Source: RNAcentral